CCGCCGACCCUCAACCGAGGGCGUCGGACGUCGCGAUUCGUUCGCCGUCGAUACCGAAAGUGCGCGCCUCAAGCUCGUUGUCGCGGACGUUUCGGCGUUCGCGCGACGAUGGCGCGUUUCUCACGUUUCGACGCGGACGGUACGUUUGCGCGCGGGUAUUCGAGGCGGUCCCUCGUCCGGCGUCUCGUACGUCGGACGGCACUCGCCUCGACGCCGGUCAGCGACGAAUCUUCGGGCCUCUUUCCGACCCGUCUUGAAACACGGACCAAGGAGUCUAGGGUGCGCGCGAGUCGCGGGGUAUCCGAGGAGUAAUGACCCUCGUCAAGAUACGAAACCCGUUCACGUACAUUGUACGAAGGCGUAAUGAAAGUGAAAGAGGGCGCCUCGCGCGUCCUCGGGGGAAGACGGUGCGCUGCGAAAUACGUUUCGCGAUCGUAUAUGUAUCGCGACCAGCCGCCCGCAUUCCCAGGGCGUCCCGCCUGUGCGACGGCGAUCGGGGCUCGCUCCGGUCGUCGACGAACUGGGGCGCACCUAUAGCGUGCACCCUGGUACCCGAAAGAUGGUGAACUAUGCCCGGCCAGGAUGAAGU
Molecule: ribosomal RNA, 589 nt
Filed under: Saissetia sp. MTS-2013
Lineage: Eukaryota; Metazoa; Arthropoda; Insecta; Hemiptera; Coccidae
Description: partial 28S ribosomal RNA
Rfam family: Eukaryotic large subunit ribosomal RNA
Source: RNAcentral